Molecule: ribosomal RNA, 503 nt
Filed under: uncultured bacterium
Lineage: Bacteria
Description: partial 16S ribosomal RNA
Rfam family: Bacterial small subunit ribosomal RNA
Source: RNAcentral
GAUGAACGCUGGCGGCGUGCCUAAUACAUGCAAGUCGAACGAAGAUCUAGCUUGCUAGAUCUUAGUGGCGAACGGGUGAGUAAUACAUAAAUAAUCUGCCCAUAUGACUGGGAUAACUAUUGGAAACGAUAGCUAAUACCGGAUAGGUUGAUUGGAGGCAUCUCUGAUUAAUUAAAGUAGGAUUUCUACACAAAUGGAUGAGUUUAUGGCGCAUUAGUUAGUUGGUGGGGUAACGGCCUACCAAGACGAUGAUGCGUAGCCGACCUGAGAGGGUGACCGGCCACACGGGGACUGCGACACGGCCCAGACUCCUACGGGAGGCAGCAGUAGGGAAUUUUCGGCAAUGGGCGCAAGCCUGACCGAGCAACGCCGCGUGAGUGAUUAAGGCCUUCGGGUUGUAAAGCUCUGUUGUAAGGGAAGAACAUUCAGGAUAGGAAAUGAUCUUGAACUGACGGUACCUUACCAGAAAGCCACGGCUAACUACGUGCCAGCCGCCGCAGUAA